RNAcentral lists this ribosomal RNA (426 nucleotides) under uncultured bacterium. Its description in RNAcentral is "bacterial SSU rRNA". It matches the Rfam family "Bacterial small subunit ribosomal RNA", at positions 97 to 520 of the family's 1533-position model. The record is from RNAcentral.
GGCAAACGGGUGCGGAACACGUACAGAACCUUCCUUUAAGCGGGGGAUAGCCCAUAGAAAUGUGGAUUAAUACCCCAUAGUAUUAGCGGGUGGCAUCAUUUGCUAAUUAAAGAUUUAUCACUUAAAGAUGGCUGUGCGGCUGAUUAGGUAGUUGGUUGAGGUAACGGCUCACCAAGCCUUCGAUCAGUAACUGGUGUGAGAGCACGACCAGUCACACGGGCACUGAGACACGGGCCCGACUCCUACGGGAGGCAGCAGUAAGGAAUAUUGGUCAAUGGACGCAAGUCUGAACCAGCCAUGCCGCGUGAAGGAUGAAGGUCCUCUGGAUUGUAAACUUCUUUUAUCUGGGACGAAACACUUUAUUUCUAAAGAGCUUGACGGUACCAGAGGAAUAAGCACCGGCUAACUCCGUGCCAGCAGCCGCGG